AAAAAAACUAAACUUUCAAUUCAAGACAAUUACAAAAGCACCGAAUUAACCCCAGAAAAAGGAGGGAAAAUAUAGCCCUUCAUGCAAAGACACCAACCUUUUCUCUAAUUUCAAACAAACAGCUCAAUUUCGGAAUCACAAUAAACUAGUUUAAGUUCCAAUUAACUGCAAAUAAGGCCUAUACAGAUCCAAUUCAUUGCAAAUAAACAAUAACAGAAACAAAUAGAAUUGGAAAAAAAAUAACAUAAAACCCUAGGGGAUUUUAGCACGUACGGAGCUCGGAGAUGAAGAGGAGA
Molecule: unclassified non-coding RNA, 296 nt
Filed under: Hevea brasiliensis (rubber tree)
Lineage: Eukaryota; Viridiplantae; Streptophyta; Magnoliopsida; Malpighiales; Euphorbiaceae
Source: RNAcentral